This 740-nucleotide ribosomal RNA is filed under the name Zoanthus sociatus. RNAcentral describes it as "partial 16S ribosomal RNA". It matches the Rfam family "Bacterial large subunit ribosomal RNA", at positions 1820 to 2573 of the family's 2925-position model. The record is from RNAcentral. Lineage: Eukaryota; Metazoa; Cnidaria; Anthozoa; Zoantharia; Zoanthidae.
CCUCGGCUAAUAUGAAAAUAGAUGUAUAGAGGGUGAUGCCUGCCCAAUGGUUGUAUCUAAAAGCGGUUGAUAAAAGUUGACCUCGUAAGGACAAUUGAAUGGCCGCGGUAACACUGACCGUGAUAAUGUAGCGUAAUCAAUAGCCAAUUAAUUGUUGGCCAGUAUGAAUGGCGCCACGAAGGCCCCACUGUCUUAAGGAAAUUCCCAGUGAAAUUGAAUUCGUAGUGAAGAUGCUACGUCCAAUUUGUUAGACGAAAAGACCCCGUUGAGCUUUACUGGAGCACUUACAUGGCCCCGGCCUUCCCAUGCCUGGGAACCGGCCGAAUUUAAAUGGGCGGCUUAGAUUAUGUGGCAGCCCCCCGCUGGGGCAAAUGAAACACCACUCCCCCAUGUCAAAGGGGCUAACCCCCCCCCUUGGGGGGACAGUGUAAGUAGGACAGUUUGGUUGGGGCGACCACCUUUUAAAAAGUAACGAAGGUGCGCUUAAGGUGCGCAAUUAAUGACUGAAGCCUGACUGCGAGGGGGACACCCCGAGCAGACACCCCAAAGCCCGCCCGAAAGGCGGCGGUGGGGUGGGCCAUAGUGACCCGUUAAUUUAGAGUGGAAUAGUUAACGAUCAACGAAUAAAAGUUACCACGGGGAUAACAGCGUAAUAUCGUUAGAGAGUUCACAUCGACGACGAUGUUUGCGACCUCGAUGUUGAAUUGCGGCAUCCUGGGGUGCAGCCGCUCCCAAGGGUU